UACGUAGGGUGCGAGCGUUAAUCGGAAUUACUGGGCGUAAAGCGUGCGCAGGCGGUUCGCUAAGACCGAUGUGAAAUCCCCGGGCUUAACCUGGGAACUGCAUUGGUGACUGGCGGGCUCGAGUAUGGCAGAGGGGGGUAGAAUUCCACGUGUAGCAGUGAAAUGCGUAGAGAUGUGGAGGAAUACCGAUGGCGAAGGCAGCCCCCUGGGCCAAUACUGACGCUCAUGCACGAAAGCCUGGGGAGCAAACAGG
Molecule: ribosomal RNA, 253 nt
Filed under: uncultured bacterium
Lineage: Bacteria
Description: partial 16S ribosomal RNA
Rfam family: Bacterial small subunit ribosomal RNA
Source: RNAcentral